Molecule: long non-coding RNA, 746 nt
Organism: Drosophila hydei
Lineage: Eukaryota; Metazoa; Arthropoda; Insecta; Diptera; Drosophilidae
Exons: 2
Source: RefSeq, a predicted model, not a curated record
UCAUUUCAGUUACUACAACGAUUUCAAGACCUACGGACGUUCUACACGGCGUUGGUGGCGCGCGCUGCAAUUAAGUAACGGGACAGAGCGUUUAAAAAAAUACAAUAAAAAUACAACACUAACAAAAAAAGCUUAAUAUAAAAAUACAUAAUUCAGCUUAAAUACACAGAACAAUAUCAAAGCAAAUGUAAUAACUCAGCCGUAUUACACAACUCGACGACUCUCGCUCAUCGUAAUAAACAACGACGACCACAACAGCAACAGCAACACCAACAACCAUCAUUCAACAUAAUAAAUACGUUUGGUAUAUGCUCAAAUAAAUACAUCAAAUUGUGUUGUGAUAUCUAAAGCUAAAUGUACAUAAAAUAUAAUCUUAUAAUCGAGAUCGAACAUAGUCAAAGCCAAUAGACUGCCAAGAGCAAUAGAAGCAAUACAUAUGUAGAUAUAUAUAUAUAAACAUAUAAACAUACAUACAUACACACAUAGAGACAGAGAGAGAGAGAGAGAGAGAGAAAGAGAGAUGUAUCGUUAAGGUAUCAAGCAGCCACACACAUCUGUGCAUCCAUAUACAUAUAUGUAUAUAGUAUAUAUGCUGAGGAGACGCGUCUAGUUGCCAAUGCCCGAAAAGUCAACUGAAUGGGGCACACUUAGCAAACCGAAAAUAAAGCACACAAUUCUCAUUUGACACAGAGAAACAGUUUGAUAAAUAUAUUCAAUACAGCGUGCAAUACACAACAACAAAAAAA